RNAcentral lists this unclassified non-coding RNA (392 nucleotides) under soil metagenome. RNAcentral's name for it is "partial contains 5.8S ribosomal RNA, internal transcribed spacer 2, and large subunit ribosomal RNA". The stretch from base 1 to 120 matches the Rfam family "5.8S ribosomal RNA", at positions 35 to 154 of the family's 154-position model. The record is from RNAcentral.
GAUGAAGAACGUAGUGAAAUGCGAUAAGUAAUGUGAAUUGCAGAAUUCAGUGAAUCAUCGAAUCUUUGAACGCACCUUGCGCUCGUUGGUAUUCCGACGAGCAUGCCUGUUUGAGUGUCAUUAAAUUCUCAACCUCACCACUUUUGUAAUGAAAGUGUGUGUUGGCUUGGAUGUGGGGGUUUGCAGGUCCGCUCUUUUGUGGUCUGCUCCUCUGAAAUGUAUUAGUGGGUUUGGUCCCCUAAUCUAUUGGUGUGAUAAUUAUCUACGCCGUGGAUUGGAAGACUAUUAUGAACCUGCUUCUAACCGUCCCUUACACGGACAAUACUUGACAUUUUUGACCUCAAAUCAGGUAAGACUACCCGCUGAACUUAAGCAUAUCAAUAAGCGGAGGA